RNAcentral lists this RNase P RNA (422 nucleotides) under Brevundimonas subvibrioides. RNAcentral's name for it is "RNase P RNA component class A". It matches the Rfam family "Bacterial RNase P class A". From Rfam's summary of the family: Ribonuclease P (RNase P) is a ubiquitous endoribonuclease, found in archaea, bacteria and eukarya as well as chloroplasts and mitochondria. Its best characterised activity is the generation of mature 5'-ends of tRNAs by cleaving the 5'-leader elements of precursor-tRNAs. Cellular RNase Ps are ribonucleoproteins. Lineage: Bacteria; Pseudomonadati; Pseudomonadota; Alphaproteobacteria; Caulobacterales; Caulobacteraceae. The record is from RNAcentral. RNAcentral also lists the same sequence under 1 other name.
CCAGACGGCCGGACGGUCGCCCUGCUUCGCCAAGGCUUCGCAGGGCUUGCCCUUAGAAGCGGAACGCGAAGGAGGGAGGAAAGUCCGGGCUCCACGGUGAGAAGGCGGCGGGUAACGCCCGCCCGGGGUGACCCGAGGGAUAGCGCCACAGAAAGCAAACUGCUCUCCGAAGCCUCGGCGAAGGAGAGUGAGGGUGAAAGGGUGGGGUAAGAGCCCACCGCGUCGCUGGUGACAGGGACGGCAUGGCAAGCCCCGCCUGGAGCAAGACCGAAUAGGGGCGUCGCGCGGACUUCGGUCCGCAGGGUUCACCGCCCGAGACGUCCGGGUAGGUCGCGAGAACCGUCCAGCAAUGGCCGGUCCAGAGGAAUGAUCGUCGCCCGUUUCGGCGGGAACAGAACCCGGCUUACAGGCCGUCUGGCGCC